RNAcentral lists this ribosomal RNA (465 nucleotides) under uncultured bacterium. RNAcentral's name for it is "partial 16S ribosomal RNA". It matches the Rfam family "Bacterial small subunit ribosomal RNA", at positions 28 to 506 of the family's 1533-position model. The record is from RNAcentral.
GAUGAACGCUGGCGGCGUGCUUAACGCAUGCAAGUCGAACGAUGAAGCCCAGCUUGCUGGGUGGAUUAGUGGCGAACGGGUGAGUAACACGUGAGUAACCUGCCCUUAACUCUGGGAUAAGCCUGGGAAACUGGGUCUAAUACCGGAUAGGAGCGUCCACCGCAUGGUGGGUGUUGGAAAGAUUUAUCGGUUUUGGAUGGACUCGCGGCCUAUCAGCUUGUUGGUGAGGUAAUGGCUCACCAAGGCGACGACGGGUAGCCGGCCUGAGAGGGUGACCGGCCACACUGGGACUGAGACACGGCCCAGACUCCUACGGGAGGCAGCAGUGGGGAAUAUUGCACAAUGGGCGCAAGCCUGAUGCAGCGACGCCGCGUGAGGGAUGACGGCCUUCGGGUUGUAAACCUCUUUCAGUAGGGAAGAAGCGAAAGUGACGGUACCUGCAGAAGAAGCACCGGCUAACUACGU